RNAcentral lists this ribosomal RNA (253 nucleotides) under uncultured bacterium. RNAcentral's name for it is "partial 16S ribosomal RNA". It matches the Rfam family "Bacterial small subunit ribosomal RNA", at positions 524 to 776 of the family's 1533-position model. The record is from RNAcentral.
UACGUAGGGUGCAAGCGUUGUCCGGAAUUAUUGGGCGUAAAGAGCUUGUAGGCGGUUUGUCGCGUCUGCUGUGAAAUUUCGGGGCUCAACCCCGAACUUGCAGUGGGUACGGGCAGACUAGAGUGUGGUAGGGGAGACUGGAAUUCCUGGUGUAGCGGUGAAAUGCGCAGAUAUCAGGAGGAACACCGAUGGCGAAGGCAGGUCUCUGGGCCACUACUGACGCUGAGACGCGAAAGCGUGGGGAGCGAACAGG